RNAcentral lists this long non-coding RNA (1525 nucleotides) under Mus musculus (house mouse). RNAcentral describes it as "RNA imprinted and accumulated in nucleus". The record is from RNAcentral. Lineage: Eukaryota; Metazoa; Chordata; Mammalia; Rodentia; Muridae.
GUCGUCUCCACACCCGAGGAAUGUCCGUGUGUGUGUGUGUGUGGUGUGCACAGCGGGCUGCACACAGCGGGCUCCACGGUGCUCGAAUGGAGGCCCUAAUGUGAAUGGAGACUAGCCUGCUGGUAGAGACCUUGGCAGUGACCGCUGUGGGCAAUGAGCCAUGGGCCAACAAUAUUCAAUGCUGUGUACCUGAUGGAUGGUUACUGUCUGAGACUGAGGCUUUUUGGGCCAGGAGUAAAAGGACUUGGUUUGUACUUGAUUGCGUCCUGUGGAUGCUUGCCUACCAACUGACUCAUCCUGACGUGCCAAAGGUCCUGGCUUUCCCCUGUGUGGGUAAGGGAAGAAGAGAGUUCUAAUGAGAGCGUGGCUGGCAUCGCUUCAUGAUUACAUUCUGGGAAAGAUCUUGCCUGUUAACCUCUAGAGAAGGAGGGACGAUACAGACGUAAGUGGGCAUCAAACUUCAUGACCUUUGUGAGAGAGGGGCACCAUCAUGCCCAUCGAAUGAUUCUUGAGGAACAGAUUCAAAGUGGUCAUGAGCUGACCAUUGAUGAGAAUGUUGUGUGAGUUAAUGUUGUGUGAGUUAGUAAGGAGUGAUCCACUUCAGUCCCAACAAAUUGCUCUCGACCAAAAAGUGUAUUUCAACCAUUUCUAGAACGUUUUUACGUGAUUUGGGUCAUAAUACAUGUGGAUACUUCAUCAUUGUAUUGCCUUCCUGGUCCCCUCCCAGAGAGGAGAAUAUAGUGAAACAAUGAAUCUUCUCAUCAUAUGGUAGUCCAUUGUGCCAUCUUUAUAUAGAUAUUAAGUGAGAGAAGUGGUGUGAUUGACAGUGAUUGAUAGCAUGCACAGAUCUGGAUUCAGUCAGAUUUCCCAUGUUGAGGCUCACAGCAGAAAGGCCAGACUUUAGCUCUGUGGGAUAUGCACUGUCAAGAUGUAUCUGUAUUUCCAAGUAUUGUUCCUCCCUUAAUUCAUGGAUAUUGAUUACAUUAUUAUUGAAUCGAUGAAUAAGUCAAGACUAGUAUGACUGACUAAAAGCACAGACUUCCAGGUCUAUGAGGAGUGUGCAUGGGGUAUCUGAAUUCAGUGUCCCGAUUAAAUAUGGUCUGUGAGGUCUACUGUGUCUAUGGGAACUGUGCCUUUGGCUUUUCCAUUGUUCAUAUGUGUGCAGUUACUCGUCUGUCGAUCAAUACUUUAGUAAAAGGCAGAAAGUCCCCACCUCAUCCUCUUUUGAGUUGUGAAAGGGGCUAAUGAAGCAAAGACUACUGUUCUUUUUUUUCUGCGAGGACUUAGCUAAGCACUCUAUGCUGCUGUUUGGGGUUAGUGCUGAGUCGCUCAUUGCAUGGCUUAUUUUAAAACAGUCCAAUAAAAUACAUGUUAUGUAUUUUGUAUAACAUCAAACCAGUGAAAAUAAUAUAAGUAGGAAUAUUCAUUAAUAACAAUACAAGUCAUUUUAAUAAACACAUUAAUAUAAAAUAUUUUGAUGAACAGCACAAUUAACAAAACCUCAAAGACACAUGUCUAGCCCUUG